This 322-nucleotide ribosomal RNA is filed under the name uncultured bacterium. Its description in RNAcentral is "bacterial SSU rRNA". It matches the Rfam family "Bacterial small subunit ribosomal RNA", at positions 1186 to 1504 of the family's 1533-position model. The record is from RNAcentral.
CAAGUCCCUCAUGGCCUUUAUGCCUAGGGCUACACACGUGCUACAAUGGAUCGUACAAAGGGUCGCGAACCCGCGAGGGGGAGCCAAUCCCAAAAACCGGUCCUCAGUUCGGAUUGGAGUCUGCAACUCGACUCCAUGAAGUUGGAAUCGCUAGUAAUCGUGGAUCAGCAUGCCACGGUGAAUACGUUCCCGGGCCUUGUACACACCGCCCGUCACACCACGAAAGCCGGAUGUACCAGAAGUCGCUGGCCCAACCCUUCGGGGAGGGUGGCGCCUAAGGUGUGGUCGGUGAUUGGGGUGAAGUCGUAACAAGGUAACCGUA